UCAUCCAUUCUAUUGGUGUAUACGUUUCUUCGGUAGGUAAGUUCAACAGGUUGCUUUUUAGCAGCCUUUUUGUUUUGAACGUAGUUUUUACCUCUGUAAGUUAAAGUAGUCAUGUUUCGAUGUGACAAAACGGCCAUCCCCCGUUCCCUGGUAUGACUCGAACUGCGCCUUCUAAAGAAGGU
RNAcentral lists this non-coding RNA (182 nucleotides) under Prochlorococcus marinus subsp. pastoris str. CCMP1986. The record is from RNAcentral. Lineage: Bacteria; Bacillati; Cyanobacteriota; Cyanophyceae; Synechococcales; Prochlorococcaceae.